AUUUGAUUCAAUAGGGGCUCCCCCUACAAAUUCUGCUGGCAGUGAGUCAGCGCCUCAAGUUAGCCGAGGAGUAAGUCAAAGAAGAUCUUCAGGCAACUUGUCUCCAACAGGGCCUGAUAAUAGUGUCAACUGGCUACAAAAAUCCUCCCAAUUGCAGCCUUCUUCCCCAGUGACCCAGCCACAGUUACAGCAGCAGCAGCAGUUAUCACCAUUGCAACAGACUCAGGUUCUGCAAGCAGGGAAUAGCAGUUCGUUUGCUAGACCCAAUGACUGUAGACUGGAUUGAACUGUCCUCAACAGAUAUGGAUGAUUCCUAGGUGGCUAAUUAGUCCCUGAAUGGGCAGCAUGCCUGGGAAACAGCGG
RNAcentral lists this unclassified non-coding RNA (363 nucleotides) under Hevea brasiliensis (rubber tree). The record is from RNAcentral. Lineage: Eukaryota; Viridiplantae; Streptophyta; Magnoliopsida; Malpighiales; Euphorbiaceae.